UGGGGAAUAUUGCACAAUGGGCGAAAGCCUGAUGCAGCAACGCCGCGUGAACGAUGAAGGUCUUCGGAUCGUAAAGUUCUGUUGCAGGGGAAGAUAAUGACGGUACCCUGUGAGGAAGCCCCGGCUAACUACGUGCCAGCAGCCGCGGUAAUACGUAGGGGGCUAGCGUUAUCCGGAUUCACUGGGCGUAAAGGGUGCGUAGGUGGUCCUUCAAGUCGGUGGUUAAAGGCUACGGCUCAACCGUAGUAAGCCGCCGAAACUGGAGGACUUGAGUGCAGGAGAGGAAAGUGGAAUUCCCAGUGUAGCGGUGAAAUGCGUAGAUAUUGGGAGGAACACCAGUAGCGAAGGCGGCUUUCUGGACUGCAACUGACACUGAGGCACGAAAGCGUGGGUAGCAAACAGGAUUAGAUACCCUGGUAGUCCACGCUGUAAACGAUGAGUACUAGGUGUCGGGGGUUACCCCCCUCGGUGCCGCAGCUAACGCAUUAAGUACUCCGCCUGGGGAGUACGCACGCAAGUGUG
Molecule: ribosomal RNA, 522 nt
Filed under: uncultured bacterium
Lineage: Bacteria
Description: bacterial SSU rRNA
Rfam family: Bacterial small subunit ribosomal RNA
Source: RNAcentral